Molecule: ribosomal RNA, 476 nt
Filed under: Kingella oralis
Lineage: Bacteria; Pseudomonadati; Pseudomonadota; Betaproteobacteria; Neisseriales; Neisseriaceae
Description: bacterial SSU rRNA
Rfam family: Bacterial small subunit ribosomal RNA
Source: RNAcentral
AUUGAACGCUGGCGGCAUGCUUUACACAUGCAAGUCGAACGGCAGCACGAAAGAGCUUGCUCUUUUGGUGGCGAGUGGCGAACGGGUGAGUAAUGCAUCGGAACGUACCGAGUAAUGGGGGAUAACUAUCCGAAAGGAUAGCUAAUACCGCAUACGCUUUGAGAAGGAAAGUGGGGGCUCUUCGGACCUCACGUUAUUCGAGCGGCCGAUGUCUGAUUAGCUAGUUGGUGGGGUAAAGGCCUACCAAGGCGACGAUCAGUAGCGGGUCUGAGAGGAUGAUCCGCCACACUGGGACUGAGACACGGCCCAGACUCCUACGGGAGGCAGCAGUGGGGAAUUUUGGACAAUGGGCGCAAGCCUGAUCCAGCCAUGCCGCGUGUCUGAAGAAGGCCUUCGGGUUGUAAAGGACUUUUGUUAGGGAGAAAAGGAUAGUGUUAAUACCAUUAUCUGCUGACGUACCUAAAGAAUAAGCACCG